This 1346-nucleotide ribosomal RNA is filed under the name uncultured bacterium. RNAcentral describes it as "bacterial SSU rRNA". It matches the Rfam family "Bacterial small subunit ribosomal RNA", at positions 28 to 1381 of the family's 1533-position model. The record is from RNAcentral.
GACGAACGUUGGCGGCGUGCUUAACACAUGCAAGUCGAACGGAAAGGCCCUGCUUUUGUGGGGUGCUCGAGUGACGAACGGGUGAGUAACACGUGAGUAACCUGCCCUUGACUUUGGGAUAACUUCAGGAAACUGGGGCUAAUACCGGAUAGGAGCUCCUGCUGCAUGGUGGGGGUUGGAAAGUUUCGGCGGUUGGGGAUGGACUCGCGGCUUAUCAGCUUGUUGGUGGGGUAGUGGCUUACCAAGGCUUUGACGGGUAGCCGGCCUGAGAGGGUGACCGGCCACAUUGGGACUGAGUUACGGCCCAGACUCCUACGGGAGGCAGCAGUGGGGAAUAUUGCACAAUGGGCGGAAGCCUGAUGCAGCAACGCCGCGUGCGGGAUGACGGCCUUCGGGUUGUAAACCGCUUUCGCCUGUGACGAAGCGUGAGUGACGGUAAUGGGUAAAGAAGCACCGGCUAACUACGUGCCAGCAGCCGCGGUGAUACGUAGGGUGCGAGCGUUGUCCGGAUUUAUUGGGCGUAAAGGGCUCGUAGGUGGUUGAUCGCGUCGGAAGUGUAAUCUUGGGGCUUAACCCUGAGCGUGCUUUCGAUACGGGUUGACUUGAGGAAGGUAGGGGAGAAUGGAAUUCCUGGUGGAGCGGUGGAAUGCGCAGAUAUCAGGAGGAACACCAGUGGCGAAGGCGGUUCUCUGGGCCUUUCCUGACGCUGAGGAGCGAAAGCGUGGGGAGCGAACAGGCUUAGAUACCCUGGUAGUCCACGCUGUAAACGGUGGGUACUAGGUGUGGGGUCCAUUCCACGGGUUCCGUGCCGUAGCUAGCGCUUUAAGUACCCCGCCUGGGGAGUACGGCCGCAAGGCUAAAACUCAAAGGAAUUGACGGGGCCCCGCACAAGCGGCGGAGCAUGCGGAUUAAUUCGAUGCAACGCGUAGAACCUUACCUGGGUUUGACAUGGAUCGGGAGUGCUCAGAGAUGGGUGUGCCUCUUUUGGGGUCGGUUCACAGGUGGUGCAUGCCUGUCGUCAGCUCGUGUCGUGAGAUGUUGGGUUAAGUCCCGCAACGAGCGCAACCCUUGUUCACUGUUGCCAGCACGUUAUGGUGGGGACUCAGUGGAGACCGCCGGGGUCAACUCGGAGGAAGGUGGGGAUGACGUCAAGUCCUCAUGCCCCUUAUGUCCAGGGCUUCACGCAUGCUACAAUGGCUGGUACAGAGAGUGGCGAGCCUGUGAGGGUGAGCGAAUCUCGGAAAGCCGGUCUCAGUUCGGAUUGGGGUCUGCAACUCGACCUCAUGAAGUCGGAGUCGCUAGUAAUCGCAGAUCAGCAACGCUGCGGUGAAUACGUUCCCGGGGCU